This 378-nucleotide ribosomal RNA is filed under the name Nematoda sp. RNAcentral's name for it is "SSU rRNA". It matches the Rfam family "Eukaryotic small subunit ribosomal RNA", at positions 252 to 626 of the family's 1831-position model. The record is from RNAcentral. Lineage: Eukaryota; Metazoa; Nematoda.
CUGAAUAACUGAGCAAAUUGCUUCGGUCUUGCACCGGCAAUAUAUCUUUCAAGUGUCUGCCUUAUCAACUUUCGAUGGUAGUUUAUGUGCCUACCAUGGUUGUAACGGGUAACGGAGAAUUAGGGUUCGACUCCGGAGAGGGAGCCUGAGAAACGGCUACCACUUCUAAGGAAGGCAGCAGGCGCGCAAAUUAUCCACUCUCGGCACGAGGAGAUAGUGACGAAAAAUAACGAGACGGGGCCCUUUAGGGCACCGUCAUCGGAAAUGAGAACAACCUAAAUCCUUUAACGAGGACCUAGCGGAGGGCAAAGUCUGGUGCCAGCAGCCGCGGUAAUUCCAGCUCCGCCAGUGUAUAUCUAUGCUGCUGCGGUUAAAAAG